GUGAGAGUUUAAUGAGAUGGUUUGGCAUGUCUAUCAUAAACCAAUACUGUAAUUAUAUCCCUGUAGAUCAUUUUGAGGUCACAAAAGGGAGGAAUAAAAGGGAUAGACCUAGGAUCACUUAGGGUGCAGUAAUGGAUAAUUAUUUAGCAGCCCUAAACAUAAUGGAAUAAAGGAAAUGGAUCAACAAAGCUGAAUCCAGCUUAGUUGAGUAGGAUAGUUUUU
Molecule: unclassified non-coding RNA, 222 nt
Filed under: Hevea brasiliensis (rubber tree)
Lineage: Eukaryota; Viridiplantae; Streptophyta; Magnoliopsida; Malpighiales; Euphorbiaceae
Source: RNAcentral